Carassius gibelio (silver crucian carp) is the source of this 1167-nucleotide long non-coding RNA. RefSeq lists it as uncharacterized. The record is from RefSeq and is a predicted model, not a curated record. The transcript has 3 exons. Lineage: Eukaryota; Metazoa; Chordata; Actinopteri; Cypriniformes; Cyprinidae.
GUUUUGAGCCGCACAAUGUGCGGAGAUCUCUGCCGUUUCCUUCCAAAAAUGAACUGACGAUCAACCCACAAGAAACGGUUUCCAUGUAGCGAGUUUAGAGAGACAUGCCAGGACUUAAAGUGAUGGACUGAAAGGGUUUCCUUGCAGAAGGAUGCUCUGUUGAUUACAAUAUCGUUCGAUUAACAUCCAUUCAGGAUUUCUGUUUUUGGAUUAACGAGGAUUGGAGAAAUGUAGCAUUGCAUCACUUGCUCAGCAGUGAAUGGGUGCCGUCAGAAUGAGAGUCAAAACAGCUGAUAAAACAUCACAAUAAUCCAUAAAUCAUCCACACCACUCCAGUCCAACAGUUAAUGUCUUGAGAAGACAAAAACUGAAACAUAUCCAGCAUUAAGAGUCUAUAAUCCAUAAUAACACUUUCUCCAGUGAAAAAGUGUUCUGGUCUGAAUCAGGAGAGAAAUCUGCACAGAUCAAGCAGCGUUUAAACAGCUCUAUACAAAUCUGUGACUGUAUCUUAAGCACUUUUUCAAUGGAUUUCAGACUCUUAAUGUUGGAUGUGUUUUAUCUUUUGUCUUCUCCAGAUGUUAACUGAUGGACUUGAGUGAUGUGGAUUACUGUGAUGUUUUUAUCAGACUCUCAUUCUGACGGCACCCAUUCACUGCAGAGCAUCCGUCGAUGAGACACUGAUGCAGUGCUACAUUUCUCCAAUCCUGAUGAAGAAACAAACUCAUCCUGAUCUUGGAUGACCUGGGGAGAUGGAGAACACGGUUUAACCCUUAGCAAGAUUGUUCCUCACAUCUGUCAUCUGUGAGGAGAUCCGAGCGCUCAGGUGAGAGGCUUUUGUUCUGGUCUGCUUCAGAGCAAUGAGUUUGUGUUAGUGUGGUCUGUGGAGCCCUCUGCUGGUCAUCUGAGUGAACUGCUGCUGCAGCGCUUCUUUACUUCAAUAUACAUCUAUACAUAUAUAUAUAUAUAUUGUUACAUUGCCACCCACAUUUAGCAAAACAUUUAAUUUAUUUAGAAUGCAUUUAGAAAUUGUGAAAACAUUUUUAAUUUUAACUUUUAAAAUUGAAUGUGAUUUUAAUUUAAUUCUUAUAAUUAUAUUUUUUUAAUUCGUAUUUUUUAUAUUUUUCUUUAUAUUUAUAAUUUACUGUGCACAAACCGCAACUUUACGGU